This 429-nucleotide ribosomal RNA is filed under the name Acidobacteriota bacterium. Its description in RNAcentral is "Acidobacteria bacterium partial 16S ribosomal RNA". It matches the Rfam family "Bacterial small subunit ribosomal RNA", at positions 355 to 776 of the family's 1533-position model. The record is from RNAcentral. Lineage: Bacteria; Pseudomonadati; Acidobacteriota.
GGGGGAAUUUUGGACAAUGGGGGAAACCCUGAUCUAGCCAUCCCGCGUGUGCGAUGAAGGCCUCCGGGCUGUAUAGCACUUUUGGCAGGAAAGAAACGUCAUGGGUUAAUACCCCGUGAAACUGACGGUACCUGCAGAAUAAGCACCGGCUAACUACGUGCCAGCAGCCGCGGUAAUACGUAGGGUGCAAGCGUUAAUCGGAAUUACUGGGCGUAAAGCGUGCGCAGGCGGUUCGGAAAGAAAGAUGUGAAAUCCCAGAGCUCAACUUUGGAACUGCAUUUUUAACUACCGGGCUAGAGUGUGUCAGAGGGAGGUGGAAUUCCGCGUGUAGCAGUGAAAUGCAUAGAUAUGCGGAGGAAGACCGAUAGCGAAGGCAGCCUCCUGGGAUAACACUGACACUCAUGCACGAAAGCGUGGGGAGCAAACAGG